This is a long non-coding RNA of Brachypodium distachyon (stiff brome), 649 nucleotides long. RefSeq lists it as uncharacterized. The record is from RefSeq and is a predicted model, not a curated record. Lineage: Eukaryota; Viridiplantae; Streptophyta; Magnoliopsida; Poales; Poaceae. The transcript is spliced from 2 exons.
UCCUGCGACAGGGUGCUACAGCCUACAGAUAUACUGACCUGCUGGGCUUAGCUCGUUGGGCCUCAUAACGGGCCAUAUUUUGGGCAAGGCCCAAGGACCCUAAUUCCUUUCUGAUUAUCAUCAACGAACCCCUCAUACCCUCAAAAAAAAAUCAACAAACCCCUAAAAAAAAGAUUAUCAAAUCAACGACAAGUCGACAACCAAGAAUCCAGAGACAGGCGAUGGACGCGUUCUUCUUCUUCGUCCACCAUGGAUGCGGCGAAUCAAUCGUUGCGAGAGAGACGGCGGCGAAGGGAUUGGCGGCUUGAUGUGAUGUGCUUGGCGGGGGAGUUCCCAUUGGUUCAAAGAACUUGGCGGGUGAGUUUCCAAUAGGUUCAAGGGAAUUUUGAAAUUUUGAAGUUUCCCCUUUUAUCCAUUGGUUCCACAGAAAACUUCCAGCCAGCCGCCGCCAUGGGUAUGAUCAUAUGAUGCCCGCGAGGGACAGCGCCGGUCAGGUGUUUGUUGGCUGCUCUGAAUGGUAGUGAAAGGAUUUCACCUGGCACCUCAAGUAUUGAACACAGCAAUGAACAGUUAUAUAAACGAAUCAAUCUCCCAAUGAGAAAUUCUACACCUGCCAAGGUACAAAGUUACAAUCCAAACGCUAAAUCAA